This 494-nucleotide ribosomal RNA is filed under the name uncultured bacterium. Its description in RNAcentral is "partial 16S ribosomal RNA". It matches the Rfam family "Bacterial small subunit ribosomal RNA", at positions 28 to 507 of the family's 1533-position model. The record is from RNAcentral.
GACGAACGCUGGCGGCGUGCUUAACACAUGCAAGUCGAAUGGUGAAGCGCCUUCCUUUUUGGUGGGUGUGGAUGAGUGGCGAACGGGUGGGUAACACGUGAGUAACCUGCCCCCUUCUUCUGGAUAACCGCAUGAAAGUGUGGCUAAUACGGGAUAUUCUGGGUCUGUCGCAUGAUGGGUCUGGGAAAGAUAUUGUUUCGGUGGGGGAUGGGCUCGCGGCCUAUCAGCUUGUUGGUGGGGUGAUGGCCUACCAAGGCGGUGACGGGUAGCCGGCCUGAGAGGGUGGACGGUCACACUGGGACUGAGGCACGGCCCAGACUCCUACGGGAGGCAGCAGUGGGGAAUAUUGCACAAUGGGCGCAAGCCUGAUGCAGCGACGCCGCGUGAGGGAUGGAGGCCUUCGGGUUGUGAACCUCUUUCGCCAGUGAAGCAGGCCUGCCUCGUUUGUGGGUGGGUUGACGGUAGCUGGAUAAGAAGCGCCAGCUAACUACGUG